GUGGGGAAUCUUGCGCAAUGGGCGAAAGCCUGACGCAGCCAUGCCGCGUGAAUGAUGAAGGUCUUAGGAUUGUAAAAUUCUUUCACCGGGGACGAUAAUGACGGUACCCGGAGAAGAAGCUCCGGCUAACUUCGUGCCAGCAGCCGCGGUAAUACGAAGGGGGCUAGCGUUGCUCGGAAUUACUGGGCGUAAAGGGCUCGUAGGCGGACAGCUUAGUCAGAGGUGAAAGCCCAGGGCUCAACCUUGGAAUUGCCUUUGAUACUGGCUGUCUUGAGUUUGGGAGAGGUGAGUGGAACUCCGAGUGUAGAGGUGAAAUUCGUAGAUAUUCGGAAGAACACCAGUGGCGAAGGCGACUCACUGGCCCAAUACUGACGCUGAGGCGCGAAAGCGUGGGGAGCAAACAGGAUUAGAUACCCUUGUAGUCC
This 425-nucleotide ribosomal RNA is filed under the name uncultured bacterium. RNAcentral's name for it is "partial 16S ribosomal RNA". It matches the Rfam family "Bacterial small subunit ribosomal RNA", at positions 354 to 796 of the family's 1533-position model. The record is from RNAcentral.